CCCUUAGAUGUCCUGGGCCACACGCGCGCUACACUGAACGGAUCAGCGCGUUUUCCCUUCCCGAGAGGGACGGGUAACCUGCUGAACCCCGUUCGUGGUAGGGAUCGGGGCUUGCAAUUAUUCCCCGUGAACCAGGAAUGCCCAGUAAGUGCAAGUCAUAAGCUUGCGUUGAUUACGUCCCUGCCCUUUGUACACACCGCCCGUCGCUACUACCGAUUGAACGUUUUAGUGAGGUACUCGGACUGAGCCUCAGAAGAUUCACGUCUUUUGUGCUGCUCGGGAAGAUUCCCAAACUUGAGCGUUUAGAGGAAGUAAAAGUCGUAACA
This 326-nucleotide ribosomal RNA is filed under the name uncultured eukaryote. Its description in RNAcentral is "partial 18S ribosomal RNA". It matches the Rfam family "Eukaryotic small subunit ribosomal RNA", at positions 1470 to 1796 of the family's 1831-position model. The record is from RNAcentral.